AUGGGGAGUGCAUGUUCUGGGCCUGGGACCUGUGUACUAGUCGUGUCGACGUCUGGCAUUCCUCAUCCAUGGGGCGCGACGCCGGACGCGCCUAGCUCCAGCGGUGCCGGCCAGGACGCGUGUUGGCAAUGCCCUGCUUCAUCUCACGAUCUAAGUAUGGCGAGCGAGGCAGUGGAGAUGUGCUCCCGCCCGCCUCACCGAACGAAAUUUGAGAGCCCACGUCAGCGAUCCGCGCCAUCUCUUUCCCGGAUCGAGAUCUUGACCGUCCAUUCCAUCCGGAUCGAACGGCAGGCCGACCCUCCUCCCCUGUUAAAUCCCCUUCUCCCGAGACCACUCCAGCAGACGCAGCCACCACCAGUUCAUCCAUCCGAUCCCAUCUGCCCGCUCGCAGCUCCAAGGAAGGAAGGAAGCCUUCAGCCAUGUCUGGCCGCGGCAAGGGCGGGAAGGGGCUGGGCAAGGGCGGAGCCAAGCGACACCGGAAGGUGCUGCGGGACAACAUCCAGGGCAUCACCAAGCCGGCGAUCCGGCGCCUGGCGCGGCGGGGCGGCGUGAAGCGCAUCUCGGGGCUCAUCUACGAGGAGACCCGCGGCGUGCUCAAGAUCUUCCUUGAGAACGUCAUCCGCGACGCCGUCACCUACACCGAGCACGCCCGCCGCAAGACCGUCACCGCCAUGGACGUCGUCUACGCGCUCAAGCGACAGGGACGCACCCUCUACGGAUUCGGAGGCUGAUUGACCUGCUCCGUCUGGUCUCUUCCCCCGCUGUUCCAUCUGUCCGAGUGCGUGUGUUGUUGUUCCGUCAUUGGGUUUGGUCUGUGUAGUUAGUGCAAGGCGGUGUGUAUGGAUGCAAUGGAACCAGCGUUGGUAUUAUCUUAACUGCAUCUCUCGAUAUGUUAUAGUUUUAUAUCCUACUCUGCUU
Molecule: RNA transcript, 918 nt
Organism: Triticum aestivum (bread wheat)
Lineage: Eukaryota; Viridiplantae; Streptophyta; Magnoliopsida; Poales; Poaceae
Exons: 2
Source: RefSeq, a predicted model, not a curated record